AGAGAGAGACAUGCGCGCAUAUCAAUAAGCGGAGGAAAAGAAACUAACAAGGAUUCCCUUAGUAACGGCGAGUGAAGCGGGAAGAGCUCAAAUUUGAAAUCUUCAAGGUUUUACCUUGACGAAUUGUAGUUUAAAGAAGUGUUUUCUGCUGAAGUUUUGGUAAAAGUUCUUUGGAAUAGGACAUCAUAGAGGGUGAGAAUCCCGUAUUUGACCAUUAUUUUCAGCUUUGUGAUACACUUUCAAAGAGUCGGAUUGUUUGGGAAUGCAGUCCAAAAUGGGUGGUAAAUUUCAUCUAAAGCUAAAUAUUGGCGAGAGACCGAUAGCGAAACAAGUACCGUGAGGGGAAGAUGAAAAGAACUUUGAAAAGAGAGUUAAACAGUACGUGAAAUUGUCAAAAGGGAAGCGUUUGACACCAGUGUUGUUUUCUCGAAAAUCAAUUAAAAAUGGCUCGAUUUUGUAUUGUUGAGACCUUAAAAGCUCACUGUACAUUUUUCGUGUCUUUUUUAAUGCACUUUUCGUUUAACAAGUCAACAUCAGUUUCUUUUGUUGUAAAAGGGUCAUUGGAAGGUGGCUUUCUUUUCGGAGAAAGUGUUUAUAGCCUUUGGCCUCUGCAAUCGGAGAGACUGAGGUCUGCAGCGUAGACUCUUCGGGGUUAGAUACAUUUGUGCUAAGUUAUAGCUUUUUAUAGACAACUUGUUGACUAUAAUUAGUCUUGUAGCUUACUCGCUUAUGCUAUUUUACCUACGCUUAGGAUGUUGAGUCGUAGAGCACGCAG
RNAcentral lists this ribosomal RNA (775 nucleotides) under uncultured Neocallimastigales. RNAcentral's name for it is "partial large subunit ribosomal RNA". It matches the Rfam family "Eukaryotic large subunit ribosomal RNA", at positions 23 to 634 of the family's 3401-position model. The record is from RNAcentral. Lineage: Eukaryota; Fungi; Neocallimastigomycota; Neocallimastigomycetes; Neocallimastigales.